Potamilus streckersoni is the source of this 73-nucleotide non-coding RNA. The record is from the annotation of a GenBank genome assembly. NCBI's taxonomy places the organism in Eukaryota, Metazoa, Mollusca, Bivalvia, Unionida, Unionidae.
GCUCCGGUGGCCUAGUGGUUAGUGCGUUUGCCUUGGAUGCGGUAGGUCGUGGGUUCGUUCGCCGGCCGAAUCA